This is a ribosomal RNA of 507 nucleotides. The stretch from base 186 to 339 matches the Rfam family "5.8S ribosomal RNA".
CUGAAAGGGGGGCUUUCGCGCCCCGGGGCUCUGCCCCGUACCUUUCCACCCUAUGCGUACCUUCCACUGUUGCUUUGGCGGGCCUCCGGGCUUUCCCGGCGCUGGCUCGGGUCCGCGUGUGCUCGCCAGAGGCCCAUUAAAACCUGUUUUAUCAGUGCAGUCUGAGUAUACAUACAAUCAAGUAAAACUUUCAACAACGGAUCUCUUGGUUCUGGCAUCGAUGAAGAACGCAGCGAAAUGCGAUAAGUAAUGUGAAUUGCAGAAUUCAGUGAAUCAUCGAAUCUUUGAACGCACAUUGCGCCCUUUGGUAUUCCGAAGGGCAUGCCUGUUCGAGCGUCAUUACACCCCUCAAGCCUCGCUUGGUAUUGGGUCCUCGCCCCCUCGCUUCCAGGGGAGCGCGCCCGAAAUUUAGUGGCGGUCCAGGUAGACUUCAAGCGCAGUAAAUCUAUCCGCUUCCGAAGCCUUCUGCCUGCGGCCUCGCCAGUUGAACCAUAAACUUUUCACGAA